This 487-nucleotide ribosomal RNA is filed under the name uncultured bacterium. Its description in RNAcentral is "bacterial SSU rRNA". It matches the Rfam family "Bacterial small subunit ribosomal RNA", at positions 903 to 1397 of the family's 1533-position model. The record is from RNAcentral.
AAAGGAAUUGACGGGGGCCCGCACAAGCAGUGGAUUAUGUGGUUUAAUUCGACGCAACGCGAAGAACCUUACCAGGUCUUGACAUACCACGAGUAGCAUGGAGACAUGUGAUGCCUUUCGGGGCGUGGAUACAGGUGGUGCAUGGUUGUCGUCAGCUCGUGUCGUGAGAUGUUGGGUUAAGUCCCGCAACGAGCGCAACCCUUACUAUUAGUUGCUACGGAAGAGCACUCUAAUGGGACUGCCGUUGACAAAACGGAGGAAGGUGGGGAUGAUGUCAAAUCAUCAUGCCCUUUAUGACCUGGGCUACACACGUAAUACAAUGGCACUUAACAGAGGGAAGCGAAGGAGCGAUUCGGAGCAAACCCCCAAAAAGUGUCUCAGUUCGGAUUGCAGGCUGCAACUCGCCUGCAUGAAGUCGGAAUUGCUAGUAAUCGCGGAUCAUCAUGCCGCGGUGAAUACGUUCCCGGGCCUUGUACACACCGCCCGU